RNAcentral lists this long non-coding RNA (9384 nucleotides) under Lactuca sativa (garden lettuce). Its description in RNAcentral is "long non-coding RNA (LSAT_LNC009492)". The record is from RNAcentral. Lineage: Eukaryota; Viridiplantae; Streptophyta; Magnoliopsida; Asterales; Asteraceae.
UCGAGAUUAUGGGGUUUCUAGAGUGCAAGAUCACGGUUUUUACAUGGAUUAGGAAGAGAUUUUGAUAACAAAAGAAUUUAAACCAUAGAUCUAUGAAUAAUCUUACCUUAGAUGAUGAUUUACUUGCAAAAUCCUCUUGGAAAGUCCCUAAAUUUCGAGAUCUUUGGAGAGGGGAGGGAAGGAGAGUUCUUUGAGUGUUCUAGAGAGAAAGUUGAGAUAUUUUGGUGUGUGUGAUGAUGCUUGGCCGAGAGUGAGAGAGGAGAGAAGAAGAAAUGACUUUUGAAGUGAUUUGCAUGGAGAUAUGGACUAAGAUGCAUGGAGACAUGUUGGGUAAUAAUGAGGUGGCAAGCAAAUAGUCAACCCUUCUUCUUGGGCUUUUCUUUUGGGCCGAAAAUGGGAAGGAAAAAAAAAGUUUUUGGGCUUUUUGCUCCUAAGCCCAACAUUAGUGUUAAUUAGGGUAUUUAUUGGACUUAUAAAAUAAAAUUGUGAUUUUUGUGCUUUAUUAAGCUAGGUUAGGUUUAAUUAUGGAUCAAAACUUGUGUUUUAUUUCCUUCUAGGUUCUACCUAGCCCAAAAUAUUGAAAUAAACGAAUGUGGGUCCAAUUAGAGCCCAAUUAGGGUCCUAAACCCAUGAUAGUCCAAUUGGAAGCUUAUUGGUCCAUUUGGAUCCAAUAAGGAAGUCUUAGUCCAAAAUGGACUUAACCAAAACUUCUAGGGUCUCCAAUUGUUUGAUGACUAUCUAUAGUACUUGUAUCUUGUAUUUGGUUAAAGUUUUUGAUUCACAUUAACUUGAAUGUAUAGAUUACAUAGCUUAAAAUUCACAGUUGUGACAUCAUCCCCCCGUUAAAGGGAAUUUCGUCCCGAAAUUCUGUUUGAAAGCUAGAUUUGAGAAAACUAGAAUAGGUGAGGGUACUUCUGCUUCAUUUGAUCUUCGCGUUCCCACGUGAAUUCUGGCCCACGCUUUGCGUUCCACCGUACCUUCACGAUCGGGAUGCGACUCUGCUUAGUACGCUUCACCUCCCUGUCCAUGAUUUCGAUUGGUUCUUCGACGAACAGGAGAUUCUCAUUGAUUUCGAUUUCGUCAAGAGGAAUGACAAGGGUUUCAUCUGAUAGGCACUUUUUCAGAUUAGAAACAUGAAACACGGGGUGCACACCGUUUAGCUCCGGGGGUAGUUGUAGUCUGUAGGCUACCGGACCUAUUCGGGCGACGAUUUCGAAAGGUCCAAUGUACCGUGGGUUUAGCUUUCCUCGUUUUCCGAAACGUAUAACCCCUUUCCAGGGUGAGACCUUCAACAAUACUCGAUCACCGACCUGGAACUCUAAGGGCUUUCGCCGUUUAUCAGCGUAGCUCUUUUGCCGGUCACGCGAUGCCUGUAAUCGAGCUUUGAUCUGGACAAUCUUUUCUGUGGUCUCGCGAAUGAUUUCCGGUCCUGUCAUUGCCCUAUCCGACGUAUGUGUUCUUGCUAGCUGGGUGUCACCUACUUCAGCCCAACAUAACGGUGAUCUACAUUUACGCCCGUACAGUGCUUCGAAAGGGGCCACCUUAAUGCUCGAAUGAUAACUAUUGUUAUAUGAAAACUCGAUCAACGGUAGGUGGGUAUCCCAAGACUUUCCGAAGUCUAUCACACAUGCACGAAGCAUGUCUUCAAGCGUCUGAAUGGUUCGUUCGCUUUGACCGUCCGUUUGUGGGUGAUACGCGGUGCUCAUAUCAAGAUGAGUUCCCAUUGCCUUGUGGAGCGACUGCCAAAAGCGUGACGUGAACCUACUGUCCCUAUCCGAGAUGAUAGAUUUUGGCACUCCAUGAAGUCUUACAAUCUCUCGUAGGUACAAACGCGUCAGCCUCUCCAUCUUGUAGGACUCUUUGAUUGGCAGGAAAUGGGCAGAUUUCGUCAGUCGGUCGAUUAUUACCCAUAUGGUGUCCAAUCCGUCCGACGUCUUGGGCAGCUUGGUCACGAAGUCCAUAGAAAUCCCCUCCCAUUUCCACUCAGGGAUUGCCGGUUGCUGUAACAAUCCGGAAGGUUUCUGGUAUUCCACUUUUACUUUGGCACACGUAAGGCACUUACUAACAUAAGUUGCGAUUUCCGCCUUCAUGUUAGGCCACCAAUAGUGCUGCUUAAUGUCCAAAUACAUCUUGUCCGAACCAGGAUGAAUGGAGUAUCGUGUCUUGUGGGCUUCCUUCAUAACGGUCUCCCUGAAUCCUCCGAUUUUUGGAACCCAAAUACGGUUCAUGAAGUAGUAUACCCCAUUCUCUUUGACUUCCAGGUUCUUCUCCAUUCCGCGUAAUGCCUCGCUAGUUCUAUUUUCCGCUUUCAUAGCCUCUGCCUGGACUGAUGCAAUUUGAGUGGUCAGAUGAGACUGAAUGGUUAUCGAGUGCGUUUUCGUACGGCGAUUUGUGUAUUCCUUCCGACUUAAUGCGUCAGCUACCACGUUGGCCUUGCCUGGAUGGUACUUGAUCUCGCAUUCGUAGUCGUUUAACAAUUCCACCCAUCUUCGUUGUCUCAUGUUCAGCUCCUUCUGAUUCAAGAUGUGCUGGAGGCUCUUGUGGUCCGUAAAGAUGGUGCACUUUGUACCGUACAGGUAGUGCCUCCAAAUUUUUAGAGCGAAGACCACAGCUCCCAGUUCUAGGUCAUGGGUUGUGUAAUUUACUUCGUGCGCCUUUAGUUGACGGGACGCAUAUGCUAUCACUCUUCCACGUUGCAUGAGAACGCAACCUAAGCCUUGAUUUGACGCGUCACAGUAAACUACAAAAUCUUCCGUUCCUUCAGGUAGAGAUAGUACAGGAGCGCUGCAAAGAGCUUGCUUCAAGGUUCGAAACGCAAUCUCUUGUCGGUCUGUCCACUUGAAUGGCACACUCUUUUGCGUAAGCAAGGUAAGUGGCUUGGCGAUUUUUGAGAAGUUUUGGAUGAAUCUCCUAUAGUAGCCUGCUAGGCCUAAGAACUGACGAAUUUCUGUGGGCGUAGUCGGAGUUGCCCAUCCUUCCACAGCUUUGACCUUAGAGGGAUCCACAUGAAUUCCAUCUUGGCUAACUACGUGACCUAGAAAAUUCACGCUCCGUAGCCAAAACUCACACUUAGAGAGUUUGGCGUAAAGCCUUUCCGAUCGCAGCGUUUCUAGGACUUGUCGGAGAUGUUGGCCAUGCUCCUCUUUGCUUCGAGAAUAGACGAGGAUGUCAUCGAUAAACACAAUGACGAAGUUGUCCAAGAACGGUCGACAGAUUCGGUUCAUUAGGUCCAUAAAUGCGGCAGGUGCAUUUGUUAGACCGAAGGGCAUUACGACGAAUUCAUAAUGUCCAUAGCGGGUUCGGAAAGCGGUUUUAGGAAUAUCUUCUUCUCGGACCUUGAGUUGAUGGUAUCCGGACCGUAGAUCUAUUUUAGAAAAAUAGCUAGCUCCUUGGAGCUGGUCGAAUAGAUCAUCGAUUCGCGGGAGUGGGUAGCGGUUUUUAACAGUGAGUUUAUUCAACUCUCUGUAAUCGAUGCACAUUCUGAAAGAUCCGUCCUUCUUUUUGACAAAGAGCACCGGAGCUCCCCAUGGCGAGUAGCUAGGUCGGAUAAAUCCCUUGUCCAGAAGCUCACUGAGUUGGCUGGACAAUUCCUGCAUUUCAGCAGGUGCCAACCGAUAUGGUGAUUUAGCGAGAGGAGUUGCUCCUGGAACGAGGUCGAUUCGGAACUCAACCUGUCUCUCUGGGGGUACUCCUGGAAGAUCUUCGGGAAACACGUCCGGAAAUUCACACGCUACCGGAAUGUCUUGGAUGUUAGUUUCUUCUUUGGUCUUGUCCACUAUGUGGGCCAAGAACGCUAAGUUGUUCUUUCGCAGAUGUUUUUGUGCUUUGAUGCACGAGAUAAGACGAAGAUUCGUGCUAGGUUUGUCUCCGUAAAUUACUAGGGUUUCGUGAUUCGGGAGACGAAGGCGAACGGCCUUCUCGUGGCACAUAAUCUCAGCAUGGUGGGGGCUUAACCAAUCCAUGCCGAUAAUCACAUCGAAACUCCUAAUUGAUACUGGCAUUAGGUCUAUUCGAAAGACGUGCUGGUUAAGGGUUAGGGUACAUCCGAUGUAGAUCUCCCUAGUGGAUUCGGUUUUCCCAUUGGCCAUUUCCACCGUAUAGGUUUCAUUUAGCUUCUGGGGUUGUUGUUUUAGUAAAUGUUUAAACUUCUCGCUUACGAAACUUCGCUCCGCUCCGGUAUCAAAUAAGAUGCAUGCAUAAGUGUGGUUUAGGAGAAACGUACCGGUCACAACUGCGGGAUCUUGAACUGCAUCACUCUGACCCAUAGUCAGCAUUCUUCCUGUUCCUCUGUUUCCGGAGUUGUUGUUGUUGUUAGGGCAAUCUCGACGGAAAUGUCCCGUCCUUCCACACCCGAAACAGGUGUGGCUAGGCCCUGCGUUGUUGCCGCCGGCAUUGGUGUUGUUGAUGUUGCGGUGAUUGUUGUUGUUGUUCUGGUUGUUUCCCUGACUCUGGUUCUGAGAAGGAUAAGUCCUGCAGAACUUUGCAGUGUGUCCCCUUCGGUUGCAACUGGUGCAAUGGAACUCCCUACAUUCUCCUUGGUGAUGGAAACCGCACUUGUUGCAUUUGGGAUGAGUGCCGGAAUAGGGUCUUGAAGUAUUUGAAGUAGCUGAGGCUGGAGCAUGUGAUGUGACUGGUACCGGCGCAGUGACAGCGUGAACUGCCACCGUUUGCUGCUUUUUAGAGGUCUCGGGACCUUGACGCCCCUUCCUCUUGUUGUUCCAUCCCUUCUUACCAUCGCUCUCCUUCUUCUUCUCAGUCUCUACCGGUUUCUCGCCCUUUUUGUGGUUAUGAUCAUAGAGCCUCUUUGCCAAUCUCUUCGCGCUGUCAAACGUUUCAGGGUUAGCAGCUAUCACAUUCCCUUGAAUGGGGGAUGUCAAUCCCCAAAUGAAUCGUUCAAUCUUCUUCCCCUCUGAUGUGAUCAUACCCGGGCACAACAGAGAUAGUUCGCUGAAUCUCGAUAUGUAAGCAUCGAUGUUCCCAUUCUGCACCGUGAGAUUCCAUAGUUCCUGCUCCAUCUUCUGUAUUUCGCCUCGGGGGCAGUACUCAGCCGUCAACAUCUCUUUCAUCUCUGCCCAGGGAAUAGAGUUGGCGACAGGGAGUGUCAUAGCUUCCACAUGACCAUUCCACCAAGUGAGUGCUUGGUCCACAAAAGUGCAGGCCGCGAACUUCACUUUCAUCUGCUCGGGGCACUCGCAUAUCUCGAAUACCGACUCUACCUUCUCGAUCCAUCGCUUUAGGGCGAUCACUCCUCCGGUACCGUUGAAAGUUCGGGGUUUAGCGUUCGCAAAAUCCUUGUAGGUGCACGUUUUAGUGAGUCCUUGGUUCGUCCCGUUGUUCGAACUUCCGGAUCCUUGCCCGUUACCUCCUCCGUUGUUCCCUCGGUGAAGUUGUGCCAUAGCCGCUGUGACCGCAGCAGACACGGCUGCCUGGAAAGCAGUGGAGUCAACUUCCGGCGGGGUUGGUUCGGGAUUUCCGCGAGUAGCUGGGCGAGGCAUCUUUCUGUCAUGAAACGGAAAGAUGUUGAGUGUACGUGGUUUCGGUGAGGUUAUGAUCCUACUAACUAGGUGUAGGGUACGAACCUAAGCAUUACUAUCAUCAAGCAUACAAUCAUAACACCUCAACACAUAACAACUGAGAAUAUCAUAGCAAAACACACAAAAGUUUAUUAAUAUUAUCCGUGUUUAGUACAAGAAAAUUUGCUCGUAGGAGCAUACAUAAGUAACACUAAUCCGACAGCAUAACGGCUCCAUGAGUAGUGUAGUCACUUAAACAUAGAGCCGGAGUACAUAACAUAGUUACUAAUAUCCUACUACGAUAGGUCUAUCCCUAACCGCGAUGAGCUGCGUCAGGAGGUGGUGCCGAAGUCAUAUGCCGAAAUGUUGCGCCAGUAGCUGCGCCAUCUCUGCCAUGUCUCCUAUAACUUCAUCCCUCUCGUGCUCUGCUCUCACUGCCCGAGCUUCCAUAGCAUACAGCUGUUGUCGCAGUGCGGCGAUCUCAGCUUCGAGGGAACGGUUCUCCCUUGGGGGGUUCACUGGUGGAGCGGGGUGAUCUGGUUGUGCCUCGUCCUCGCAUGGUGGGAUGGGGUCCUGGCCCCCGACCUGACCCUCCUCGUCGUCAUCGUCGACCUCUCCAAAUUCGUAGUCGGUGUCUAUAUAUUCGUCGGGUUCGACGUCGUGUGCUUCUCCUGGAUGCUCUCCCGGCUCAUCCACCAGCAUCCCGUGAGCUACUAAGGCCUGAUGAAACUGGAUACCCGGCUGCUCCUCCUCAGGCUCCUCCUCCUCCUCUAGCCACCCGUUGUUUCCCUGAUUAGGGAAGUAGGGGUCUCCAGGGUGAUGAAAACCAGCCAUGCUGUCUGCGCGAGUACGUAAUUAUGCUACAUUAUUCCUAGGGUACUAUGACUAUUACACAGACUAAGCAAAUAUUCUCUUUUUGGGUGAUAUAGGGUAUAAUUUUUAGGUUCCCUGGCUAUUCCGAUCUCAUCAAGACAUGUGUUAGUUUUACCUUGGAGAGAAUGUAGUUGAUCAGGCUACAUUCACUCCUUGGUAUCACUAAGAACAGUCCCGAAUUAACCGAGAUACCAGUAUUAUGGUGUUUGAUUCAGCGUUAGGUCCUUACUCCUAAUGCAAGCAAGUGUAUUUUAUUCAUUUGUUUUGUUCAGAGUUAUGUUAGUCCCUCUUUUUGGUUUAUAGUUGCAUAUCAAUGUAUGGCUCGACAUGCUAGUUCACUAUAAACAAAGCUCUGAUACCAACCUGUCACACCCCCGAACCAGACGGCGGAAACGUCCGGGGGCUGUCGUGACUCAAUUGAAUACCAUAACAUUGAAUAUAUAUGAAACAAAACAACAUUCGUCACCAUUCAUCAACAUAAUACAACCAGUAGUGUUUACAUGUCAUACAUUGUUUGAGAUAUUACAUUUCCAAAAAUUAAUAUUGUUUGGUUCAUUCAAAAAUAAACUGCAACCGUCACUGAGCAUGAUUUCCCUUGAUUCACUGGUUUCCUGAGAAUACAAGUAUUUUGAAAAACGUCAACAUAUGAAAUGUUGGUGAGUUCAUAAGUAGUGUUUGAAAUCGAAUGUUUAUAUUGUUUGAAAAACCACCAGAAAAUCCGAUAUUUUCUGAAAAGAAAAGCUUUCAAAAACGUUUGUGAAGAUCCAUAGGUAUGCUUGUUUGUUUCUAUACUUGCAAAAAUUGUUCAUUUAAGAUGUAUGCGUUUAAAAUCUGUAUGUGAUAAAAACCCUAGGGAAACCCGAUGUUCCCCUAGUUCUUUUGAAAUCCAUUGAGUUGCGUUGAAACCAUUACAAAAAUAGUAGUAUCGGUCCCAAGCGACGUUGGAAGGUUCUCGAGCAUUGAUUAUUUACUACAAACCCGCAUUACACAAAUGCCCGGUUUAUAGAUAUACCAACGAUUCCCGAAGGCGUCGUCAGUACUAAUCACGUUAUCCAAUCGCCCGGACUAUGAGUGGUCCCACAUCCGAAGAGAAAGAGGUCACGAAGACCCCGGUAACUCUAUUAACCGGCUGGGGAAAAAUGUGUGCGAGGGGUCCCCGACCCGCCUCGUAAAAUGUGUAGACUUUUCUAGCAAUACCAUGGCCCUUGGGGUCCAAUGAUACAAGCCAUUGAAAGUCACCCUACGUUGUGCCAAGUCGGUAAAACUCAACACUUCGUAGAAAAAAAAUUUCUUCGGGCCUUAAGAUCAGGUCAUUGGGCUAGCUAGGCCCAACAAACAAGAUUUUACACUUUUGGGGCCCGAAGAUGGUGCGUAGACGUCUGUGCACACUCGUAUGUAUGUGUAUUACCAAUCGUUAUUUGUAUGUAUCAAAGAGUUAGUAGUUGUAGAUUUCCAUUGGCUCGAGACCGAGCCAAUUCGUUUAGCAACGACUUUUGGUAUUGUAAUGAGUUGUAUUUCGUUGAUAGUUGAGGUAUCAUUAUUUGAUCAAAUUGUACAUAAUGAAUCAGCCUUGAAAUAUUUCUGUUUUCAGCCCCUCAUUAUUUGUAAAAUUUACAUUUUCAACCCUUUUAUUUAAAUAUUUCCCGGUUUGGUCCUUAAACUAUUUUUCUUGACAUUUUAACACCAAAAAUUAUUGAAAUUAAUAUUUUCCAGCAUAUUUUUCAAAGAAAACAGUUUAAGUCCCUGAAAAUGCAGUUUUUCUCGGUUUUAGCCCAUCUUUUCGCAAUUUUGACAAUUUUGGCCCAAAAUGGAAAAUUUUUGCAACUUUGGUCCUUUUUAAAUUUAAAAAGCAUUUUAAACCUUUGAAAAGGGUUUGGGACACUUAUAGUCCACUGUUUUACAGAAAGUUACAGUUUUGGCCCUCCAAAACAGAAAAAUUCGCAUAAUGGGCCUUAUUGGGCCGAAAUUUGCAUUUUUAGCCCAAUAGGCUUGAAAUUUAUGUUUUUAAUCCACCAAUUGAAUAGAAUUCCAGAAAUAGCUUUAUUGAAACUGUUUUGACACAUUUCAACCAUCAGAAUCUGUAAAAUGUCAUUUUGGGCCCUUAAUUUUGUAUUUUUCACAUUUUUGGCCCAAAAUGUGUGUUUUUAGCUUAAAGAAAAUUGUUGCUAACCACUUGGCUAUUUAUCUAGUAUCACUUAUUAUGUAGGAACAUAUUUGAAGCUAAUAUCAUAAAACAUGAGUUAUAUCUCGGUUUUGAGGGGUUUAAUGGCUAGAUCCAACAUUAAAACACAUAUAAGCAUACAUAUAAGCAUGGAAAUCAUACAAGGCAUACAAAUACAUAUAGAUCUACACUUUCACUUGUAUUCCCCCCCACAAAAACUCUUAAAAACAGAAAAUAGGGGUAUGAAUCUCACCUUGGGUGUGUAGUUUCGGUUCUUGAAGAAAAAUUGGAAGAAAUGAAGUGAUUUUUGGCCCUUGCACUCCUUGAUGAAUUUUUCGAGAUUAUGGGGUUUCUAGAGUGCAAGAUCAUGGUUUUUACAUGGAUUAGGAAGAGAUUUUUAAUAACAAAAGAAUUUAAACCAUAGAUCCAUGAAUAAUCUUACCUUAGGUGAUGAUUUACUUGCAAAAUCCUCUUGGAAGGUCCCUAAAUUUCGAGAUCUUGGAUGGAGAAGAGGAAGAAGUCUUGAGUGUAUUUUAGAGAGAGUUUGUGAGUGUUUUGUGUGUGUGUGUGCAAACUCUCGGCCAAACAAGAAGAAAGAGAAGAGAAAGAGUUUGAGUUGACAUUCCUUGGUACAUGUUGGUCCAUGCAUGGAGAUAUGUGGGAUAAUAGUGAGGUGGCAAGUGUUAAGUCAACCCUUCUUCUUGGGCUUUUCUUUUGGGCCGAAAAUGGGAAGGAAAAAAAAAGUUUUUGGGCUUUUUGCUCCUAAGCCCAACAUUAGUGUUAAUUAGGGUAUUUAUUGGACUUAUAAAAUAAAAUUGUGAUUUUUGUGCUCUAUUA